This 296-nucleotide unclassified non-coding RNA is filed under the name uncultured Coprinellus. RNAcentral's name for it is "sequence contains 5.8S rRNA gene". The stretch from base 1 to 53 matches the Rfam family "5.8S ribosomal RNA", at positions 102 to 154 of the family's 154-position model. The record is from RNAcentral. Lineage: Eukaryota; Fungi; Basidiomycota; Agaricomycetes; Agaricales; Psathyrellaceae.
GAACGCACCUUGCGCUCCUUGGUAUUCCGAGGAGCAUGCCUGUUUGAGUGUCAUUAAAUUCUCAACCUCACCAGUUUUGUCAUGAGACUAUGUAAGGCUUGGAUGUGGGGGUUUGUGCAGGCUGCCUCAGCGCGGUCUGCUCCCCUGAAAUGCAUUAGCGAGUUCACUAAGCUCCGUCUAUUGGUGUGAUAAUUAUCUACGCCGUGGUACGGGUUUAGACUUGCUUCUAACCGUCUGCAAAGACAACUUUUGACAAUUUGAUCUCAAAUCAGGUAGGACUACCCGCUGAACUUAAG